This 466-nucleotide ribosomal RNA is filed under the name uncultured bacterium. RNAcentral's name for it is "partial 16S ribosomal RNA". It matches the Rfam family "Bacterial small subunit ribosomal RNA", at positions 28 to 507 of the family's 1533-position model. The record is from RNAcentral.
GAUGAACGCUGGCGGCGUGCUUAACACAUGCAAGUCGAACGGAAAGGCUCCUGCUUGCAGGGGUACUCGAGUGGCGAACGGGUGAGUAACACGUGGGUGAUCUGCCCUGCACUUCGGGAUAAGCCUGGGAAACUGGGUCUAAUACCGGAUAGGACGAUGGUUUGGAUGCCAUUGUGGAAAGUUUUUUCGGUGUGGGAUGAGCUCGCGGCCUAUCAGCUUGUUGGUGGGGUAAUGGCCUACCAAGGCGUCGACGGGUAGCCGGCCUGAGAGGGUGUACGGCCACAUUGGGACUGAGAUACGGCCCAGACUCCUACGGGAGGCAGCAAUGGGGAAUAUUGCACAAUGGGCGCAAGCCUGAUGCAGCGACGCCGCGUGGGGGAUGACGGCCUUCGGGUUGUAAACUCCUUUCGCUAGGGACGAAGCGCAAGUGACGGUACCUGGAGAAGAAGCACCGGCUAACUACGUG